This 253-nucleotide ribosomal RNA is filed under the name uncultured bacterium. RNAcentral describes it as "partial 16S ribosomal RNA". It matches the Rfam family "Bacterial small subunit ribosomal RNA", at positions 524 to 776 of the family's 1533-position model. The record is from RNAcentral.
UACGGAGGGUGCAAGCGUUAUCCGGAUUCACUGGGUUUAAAGGGUGCGUAGGCGGGUUGGUAAGUCCGUGGUGAAACCUCCGAGCUUAACUCGGAAACUGCCGUGGAUACUAUCAAUCUUGAAUAUCGUGGAGGUAAGCGGAAUAUGUCAUGUAGCGGUGAAAUGCUUAGAUAUGACAUAGAACACCAAUUGCGAAGGCAGCUCACUACACGGUCAUUGACUCUGAGGCACGAAAGCGUGGGGAUCAAACAGG